Molecule: ribosomal RNA, 460 nt
Filed under: uncultured bacterium
Lineage: Bacteria
Description: partial 16S ribosomal RNA
Rfam family: Bacterial small subunit ribosomal RNA
Source: RNAcentral
CCUACGGGUGGCUGCAGUGAGGAAUAUUGGUCAAUGGGCGCUAGCCUGAACCAGCCAAGUAGCGUGAAGGAUGACUGCCCUAUGGGUUGUCAACUUCUUUUAUAUGGGAAUAAAGUGCAGUCUGUAUACUGCUUUGCAGGUACCUUAUGAAUAAGGACCGGCUAAAUCCGUGCCAGCAGCCGCGGUAAUACGGGAAAGCCGGGCGUUAUCCGGAUUUAUUGGGUUUAAAGGGAGCGUAGGGGGGGUGUUAAGUCAGUUGUGAAAGUGUGCGGCUCAAACGGAACAUUGCAGUUGAUACUGGAAGCCUUGAGUACAGUAGAGGUAGGCGGAAUUCGUGGUGUAGCGGUGAAAUGCAUAGAUAUCACGAGGAACUCCGAUUGCGAAGGCAGCCUGCUGGACUGUAACUGACGCUGAGGCUCGAAAGUGUGGGUAUCAAACAGGAUUAGAUACCCCUGUAGUC